GGGGAAUAUUGCACAAUGGGGGGAACCCUGAUGCAGCCAUGCCGCGUGAAUGAAGAAGGCCUUCGGGUUGUAAAGUUCUUUCGGUGACGAGGAAGGUUGAUAGGUUAAUAGCCUAUCAAAUUGACGUUAAUCACAGAAGAAGCACCGGCUAACUCCGUGCCAGCAGCCGCGGUAAUACGGGGGGUGCGAGCGUUAAUCGGAAUAACUGGGCGUAAAGGGCACGCAGGCGGUGACUUAAGUGAGAUGUGAAAGCCCCGAGCUUAACUUGGGAAUUGCAUUUCAUACUGGGUCGCUAGAGUACUUUAGGGAGGGGUAGAAUUCCACGUGUAGCGGUGAAAUGCGUAGAGAUGUGGAGGAAUACCGAAGGCGAAGGCAGCCCCUUGGGAAUGUACUGACGCUCAUGUGCGAAAGCGUGGGGAGCAAACAGGAUUAGAUACCCUGGUAGUCCACGCUGUAGACGAUGUCGAUUUGGGGAUUGGGCUUUGAGCUUGGUGCCCGUAGCUAACGUGAUAAAUCGACCGCCUGGGGAGUACGGCUGCAAGGUUA
Molecule: ribosomal RNA, 546 nt
Filed under: uncultured bacterium
Lineage: Bacteria
Description: bacterial SSU rRNA
Rfam family: Bacterial small subunit ribosomal RNA
Source: RNAcentral